GAUCAUGGCUCAGAUUGAACGCUGGCGGCAGGCUUAACACAUGCAAGUCGAACGGUAACAUGAAGAAGCUUGCUUCUUUGAUGACGGGUGGCGGACGGGUGAGUAAUGCUUGGGAAUCUAGCUUAUGGAGGGGGAUAACUACGGGAAACUGUAGCUAAUACCGCGUAGUAUCGAGAGAUGAAAGUGUGGGACCUUCGGGCCACAUGCCAUAGGAUGAGCCCAAGUGGGAUUAGGUAG
Molecule: ribosomal RNA, 237 nt
Filed under: uncultured bacterium
Lineage: Bacteria
Description: partial 16S ribosomal RNA
Rfam family: Bacterial small subunit ribosomal RNA
Source: RNAcentral